This 992-nucleotide long non-coding RNA is filed under the name Homo sapiens (human). RNAcentral's name for it is "HSALNT0000847". The record is from RNAcentral. Lineage: Eukaryota; Metazoa; Chordata; Mammalia; Primates; Hominidae.
CAGUGUGCAGGCCCGUGGGAGGUUCUCCAGGGAACCUUGGCUGUCUCAGUGCGUCGGUGCAGAAGGAGGUGGCGCCUGGGUGCAGAAGGAGAUGGCGCGUCGGUGCAGAAGGAGGUGGCGUGUCGGUGCAGAAGGAGAUGGGCUUCGCCCUGCAAGGAGGAAGGCUGAAUUGGACCCUGGCCUCCUGAGAGCAUGCUGGAUACUGUGGUGAAAUGCAUUUUGAAGCAAAGGCAGGAUUUCAUCAGCUGAGCUUCCUUCCUGGUGAUGUCACUCGGCCGCCUAGGACCAGCAGCUGUCACUUUCUACCUCCUCACUACCCACCAGCAGCAUCGUGUUGUCAGGAGGGGUUUCCGCAUCGGUUUGACGAUCCCAGGCUCCCCCUAAGUUAUGCCUGCACAACUGGAGUAUGUUAUGUGAAAGGAAAAUAAAUCUUGGGAUUCCAGAAUCACUCAGCCAAAGGGAAAAGUCAACCUGGGAACUGCAGCUCGGCAAACAUGCCUCCCAUUCUAUUCCUAAAUAAGAGAGCUAUGAAGAAAGCUACACACCUCCGUCAGUACCUCCCCGCAAGGAAAUUCCUUGUGGACCGGUACAGACAGAACCGAAAGUCCUCCCUCUGCUCACGUGAGACAAAUGCGUAACUGGUGGUUUCCUCUGCCCUCUUGUUUCACUAAGCCAGACUAAGGUAUAAGUGAUGAUUCCUGUAAAUUGUGUAUUCAGUGAAAGGCUCAUCAGAAACUCAGAAGAAUGCAACCAUUUGUCUCGUAUCUACUGAUGACCUGGAAGCCCUCUCUGAGCUUAGAGCUGUCCAGCCUUUCCAGACCAAACCAAUGUACACCUUACAUGUACUGACUGAUGUCUCAUGCCUCCCUAAAAUAUAUAAAACCAAGCUGUGCCCCGACCACCUCGGGAACAUGUCAUCAGGGCCUCCUGAGGUUGUAUCACUGGUGCGUCCUUAACCUUGGCAAAAUAAACUUUCUAAACCAAUUAAAACC